AUGGAAACCUUAAAAAACAAAAAAAUAAAUAUGAACAAAAAUAGCGUUGUAUCUAAAGCUAAAUUAACAGACAUUAUACGAAAUCCAAAUUAUACUGAAAACUAUAUAGGGUAUGCAAUCCAAGCAGAUGGAAACAAUUUAAAAGUUGUUCCAGAUAAUAAAGAUAUCAAAAGUAAAAAAAAGAAUCACGACAAUGAAGUAGAUUUACAACUAAAAAACCUCAUAGAACAUUUGUAUAGCAUUAAAUUCAAAUUAGAAAAAGAAAAACAAAAAGAAAAGGAAAAAAAAGUAACUCCUCCUUCAGAUCGUAAAUAUUUACUUAAGGAAAAAGAAAACAGUACGAACGGUCAGAAAAAAUCAAUUGGCAUAAAAAAUAAUACACUAGAACAAAAAUGCAAGGAGAGUGAUAAGUUAGCAGAGACUGCUAUUCCUAAUGUAAGAAUAAGAAAAAACAAAAAAACCAAAAAAUAAAACCAAAAAAUAAAACCAAAAAAUUGAUAUAUAUCUAUGUUAAU
RNAcentral lists this long non-coding RNA (515 nucleotides) under Piliocolobus tephrosceles (Ugandan red Colobus). RNAcentral describes it as "lncRNA (ENSPTEG00000006390.1)". Lineage: Eukaryota; Metazoa; Chordata; Mammalia; Primates; Cercopithecidae. The record is from RNAcentral.